AUGCACUGCAGGUGGCACAUUAUAAAGAAGGCUGAGGAGACACCAGGACCGUUCUUUGCUGACCGUCCAGAGCUGCACAAGGCAUUCGAGCUGUGCGUGGACCACAGCUUGAUGGUGGAGGAGUUUGAACGGAGUUGGAUGGCUAUGAUUGAAACAUAUCAAGUCCAAGACAACGAGACGCUUGCUAGCCUGUGGGAGAAGCGAAUGUACUGGGUGCCGGCCUACUUCAUGCAGUGCUUCUUCCCAUUUCUGCAGACUACGCAGCGUAGCGAGGGGUUCAAUCCAGUUCUGAAGCGGUACGUGAGCCCUGGCAACUCAUUGUUGCAGUUUGCCAAGCAAUACAUGGCUUUGCAACAAAAAAUACUGGAUAUGAGCUACAGCAGGAAGCAAACACAACGCUCAAGCAGCCUAAAUUGCUAA
Molecule: ribosomal RNA, 420 nt
Filed under: Triticum aestivum (bread wheat)
Lineage: Eukaryota; Viridiplantae; Streptophyta; Magnoliopsida; Poales; Poaceae
Description: partial small subunit ribosomal RNA
Source: RNAcentral